GUUUGUUAUUAUGUUUUGGAAUGAAAUUUGGUCAGAUAAUAUGAUUACGGUGAGUUCUGUAACAGCUACUGGUAAUAUUUUUGUAAAUCACGUGAAAGCAUUGGAGCAACUGUCUUGGAAAAUGCUCUUUAAACUUAAAACCCCAGUAUGUUUUGGUAGUAGUGGAUAUUACACAUAUAUGCUGCUCUUUUCAGUGUUCCUUUUAUUGUGCUAAAACAUUUUUAAAACAUUUGAUUUAUUAAUAGGAUUUAUUUUUCUUAAUAGGAUUGUUAAUAGGAUUUAUUUUUCUAGGACAUUGUCUUUAAACACUUGGAUGAUUUUAUAUGUCUUUUAAUUCUUUUAUAAUUUGUAGAUUUAAAAAACUUCGUGGGCAGAAAGCUAAGACAUAGGAAAGGAUAUAGAUUUAUUUGGCAUUUCAAAGGAUUUUGUUUUAUUAUCCCCUCUUAUUUGGGUAUAAACUCAAAUCUGUUUUAUCCUUUGUCUGUUUGGAUUGAUGCGUAUUGAGAUUUUGUCUAAUUGAACUGAUUUUGAUAAUACGUAAAGUUUAAUUUCCCUGUUAAAAUAGGACUCCCAAAUUUCUGAAUGUCUGUUACAAGUAUUAGGUUACCUCAGUUUUCUGGCAUCUGAAAGCUACUGAUACAUACAUUAGUAGCAAUAUUAAAUAAGGUAAAAUACUCCAGUGACAUCCUAGUUACAUGCUUGGGGUGGGUUUUUGGUUUCGUUUUAAAGUAUUUAUGAGGGAUACUUUCAUGCAUUUUCCAUGAAACUAAUUUUUCUCUCUCUUUUUUUAGCUUCAGCUUUAGCUGCAGCUGCCUCUGUUCAGCCACUUGCAACACAGUGUUUCCAACUCUCUAACAUGUUUAACCCUCAAACAGAAGAAGAAGUUGGAUGGGAUACCGAGAUUAAGGAUGAUGUGAUUGAAGAAUGUAAUAAACAUGGAGGAGUUAUUCAUAUUUAUGUUGACAAAAAUUCAGCUCAGGUAUUUUCAUCUUUUUUAUAAAUGAUGUUAGGUUAUUCAUCUCUACCUUAAUCUUCACACAUACGUGGUGCAUGUUAUUAUGGUCACUGUCUUCCAUUAUAGUUUUUUUUGUGUGUGCCUGAAAGUAGCUUUAAUAUAGUGGCUAAAUAAACCCUCCAAAAUAAAAGAAAAUCAGUAACAAUUUGAUCAGGGUAUGAGAGUAUUUCUAGUAAUGCUCAAAGCUUGCCAUGAAAUCUUGGCAUCUUGAUUCAUUCUUAGGCUGCAUACAAAUCAUAAAGAUAAAACGGCAAAUUUGGGAGUAGAAGUCAUUUUUAAAUAAAAUUCUACAUAUACCUAUUAGUCAGUGGAACAACUAUGAUAACCAUUUUGUAGUUAUAGAGCGCUAAGUUUCUACAGGCAACUUGAAUAAACAUAACCUGGGUCCAUUUUGCAUACAGCAACAUCUUUACCUUUUUUUCAUUUUUUCUGUAGGGCAAUGUGUAUGUGAAGUGCCCAUCAAUUGCUGCAGCUAUUGCUGCUGUCAAUGCAUUGCAUGGCAGGUGGUUUGCUGGUAAAAUGAUAACAGCAGCAUAUGUACCUCUUCCAACUUACCACAACCUGUUUCCUGAUUCUAUGACAGCAACACAACUACUGGUUCCAAGUAGACGAUGAAGGAAGAUACAGUCCCUUAUGUAUAUAGCUUUUUUCUUUCUUGAGAAUUCAUCUUGAGUUAUCUUUUAUUUAGAUAAAAAUAAAGAGGCAAGGAUCUACUGUC
RNAcentral lists this small RNA (1733 nucleotides) under Pongo abelii (Sumatran orangutan). Its description in RNAcentral is "retained intron". Lineage: Eukaryota; Metazoa; Chordata; Mammalia; Primates; Hominidae. The record is from RNAcentral.